Small nuclear RNA from Nyctereutes procyonoides (raccoon dog), 103 nucleotides. Lineage: Eukaryota; Metazoa; Chordata; Mammalia; Carnivora; Canidae. The record is from RefSeq and is a predicted model, not a curated record.
UUGCUUUUAAGGCAUAUACACUAAAUUUGGAAUGAUACAGAAAAGAUUAGCAUGGCUCCUGCACAAGGAUGACACGCAAAUUUGUGACAUGUUCCAUAUUUAA